CCCGGUGACUUUACCGCGGGGGCCACACCCGUUCCCAUCCCGAACACGGUCGUUAAGCCCCGCCGGGCCGAUGCUACUGCGCUGGUAACGGCGUGGGAAAGUAGGUCGUCGCCGGGU
This 117-nucleotide ribosomal RNA is filed under the name Deltaproteobacteria bacterium. Lineage: Bacteria; Pseudomonadati; Myxococcota; Myxococcia. The record is from RNAcentral.